Molecule: long non-coding RNA, 5719 nt
Organism: Elaeis guineensis (African oil palm)
Lineage: Eukaryota; Viridiplantae; Streptophyta; Magnoliopsida; Arecales; Arecaceae
Source: RefSeq, a predicted model, not a curated record
AGGAGAAACGCAAGCGGUCCCCAACUCAGUCAGCACCUCCUGCAAGAUCUUCAUCCUCAGUAUCCCCUCCCCAAAUAAAGAGGGUCUGAGAAAAAGGAGGUUUGGCGGCCAGUGGUGACCAACCCCUCUCGGCUGGAUGGGUCAUCCCGCUCUGCUGCCCCUCACUCUGGUUCUCAGGUGGUGGUCCAUGCUUCGCCUCGACUAGACCCUAUGGACCAUUCGGCUUUGGUUUUUCAAGUCUUGCAGGAGUUGUCGGUUUCAUCUCUUACUUCAAAUUCAGAUGCUCAAACUGCGUGUGUGGAGGCUGCUCGUCGGUCUGCUGACCCAGGCCAACCAUCUACAUAUGCUCUUCAAUGAAGAUCAUUAUGUGGAAUUAUCGGGGCGCUGCUAAGCCCUCGUUUCGUAAGUAUUCUAAACUAUUAUUAGCUAAGUAUAGUCUAGAUAUAUGUGUAUUUGUCGAGACUAGGCUUGAUCAAGCUCUUUACCUCGUCUCCGGCGAUGGUUUGGUCCUUUUUGGGAUGUUUAUUUGGUUUCGUUGGAAGGGCUGUCUGGGGGUAUGUUUGUCAUCUGGAAGAAAAGUCCUAGGCAGGUCACGUUUACUCAUACUGAUCGAUAAAUUUACUUCGGCAUUAUCACUCCUUUUGAUUCAUCUUCUUGCAUUUUGGGUCUGGUGUAUGUGAGUACUAAUGGUUUGAUACACCGUUCCCUUUGGCAUACUGCUUCCCAUAUCCUUGCUCUUGGUGUGCCAACUCUUCUUAUAGGUGACUUUAAUUGUAUUUUGCAAUCUACUGAUAAAAUGGGCAGCAAGCGGUUUUCUUUAAACCAUGAUAUCCGUGAGUUUCGCAAUUUUGCUUCUUUUAAUGGGCUGAUAGAUCUUGGAUUUGUGGGCCCUAAAUAUACUUGGUGUAACAACCAAAAGGGACUGGUAAGGGUGUGGGAACGGCUUGAUAGGGCUUUUGUGUUAGAGCAUUGGUUUGACAUAUUUCCUAACUCUGCUCUUCAACAUCUUGUUCGUUUUGCUUUUGAUUAUUGUUCGUUUGUUUUCUCAGCUCAUGUUUGCUCUUAAUGACCCCACCAUUCUUUCCGCUUUUUUAAAUUUUGGAUGUGGUAUUCGUUACUUUUCUCAGCUCAUGUUUGCUCUCAAUGACCCCACCAUUCUUUCCGCUUUUUUAAAUUUUGGAUGUGGUAUUCUGAUUUUCAUCAUAUUGUCCGUAAGCAUUGGUGUGCUGAGGUCGACCUCCCUCCUAAAAGGCUAUCUUAUCUCCUUCUUAAGCUGAAAUGGAAGCUUAUGCAAUGGAGUAAAUCUAUAGUUCGUACUCUCUUCCAAAAAGUUGACUUAUAUGCUCAAAUCCUGUCUCUUCAAUUGUUAGAAACUCAAACGGGGUGUCUAUCAUAUGAUAAUCAUUUUCUUCUGCUUCAGCUUCUCCAAGAAUAUAAUCGGGUCCUGUCCAUGCAAUAAUGUUAUUGGAAAUAAUGAUCACGUAUUCAGUGGCUUAAAGAAGGGGAUACUAAUUUAAAGUUCUUUCAUUGCACUACCGUUCUUCAUAAUUGGCGUAACCAUAUUUCAGCUCUCAAAUCAGAGUUUGGGUAGUGGAUCUAUGUGGAAUCCGAGCUUAGAUCAAUGUUACAGCUAUAUUUUCGGUCCAGGUGCAACUUCUUGCCUCCACCUAUUGACAUAUGGCUUCCUCAGCCUACAAAUGUUUUAUCUCCUGGCCAACAAUAGCGUUUGGUAUCCCCAAUUAUGGAAGAAGAGAUAUUUAAUACAUUACAAUCUAUGCCUCUUGAUAAAUUCCCUAGUCCGGAUGGUUUUUCUGCUUUUUUCAAGACUUUUGACCUAUUGUGGGUACCGAUGUGGUUCGGGCAGUUCUUUCAUUUUUUCAUUCCUCGGUCAUGCCACCCUCAUGGAAGCACACCUUUAUUGUCCUGAUUCCUAAGGUAUAGCAGCCAUCACGACCAUCCGAGUUUCGCCCUAUUAGCUUAUGUAAUACCAUCUAUAAGCUAGUGGCUGCAGUUAUUUUAAAUUGGAUGAAGCCUUUAAUGCCUGACUUGAUUUCUUCCAAUCAAGGUGCCUUUGUUGGGGGAAGAUUGAUCAUGGAAAAUAUUCUUAUUGCCCAGAAAAUCAUGUAUUCUCUUGUGAGGGCUGCACCAUCUAAAGGUCUUCUGUUGCUUCAAGUGGAUAUGGAAAAGGCAAACGAUCGAGUGCAAGGGAGCUUUCUUUUAUGGGUGUUUAAGCAAUUCAAUUUCUUUGAACUCUUCAUAAAGUGGAUUGAGACUUGUGUGCUUAAUCCUCUAUAUGCUCUUCUUAUUAAUGGCACUCCCAUGGAUUGGUUUUCUGCUACUUGUGGUCUGAGACAGGGCUGUCCAUUAUCUCCUUUUCUGUUCCUCUUAUGCUCGGAAAUGCUAUCUCUUACUUUGAGGGUGGCUAUUCAAUCGAAACUUUUGCAUCCUUAUAUCCCUGGACGGCAUGGGCCUCAGAUUUCUCAUCUUUUUUUUUUUACUGACAACUGUUUAUUGGUUGCUAAAGCUCCCAUCCAUAAUGCUCUUCUCCUCAAGUUAUUGCUUAAUGCUUAUUGCCAUUAUUCUGGUCAAUCGGUGAAUACUUCUAAAUCCUUUCUUAUUAUCAGCCCGUCUUUGGAUUCUAAUAUCAGGUAAUCUAUUGUGUCUAUAUUUGGUAUGCAUUGUAAAUAAGGUGCUUGGAAAUAUUUGAGUAUGCCUAUUUCUAAUUUCAGAUUAACCACAUCGGAUUUCACCUUUCUUAUGGAGAAAAUUCUUGCCAAGAUCCAAGCUUGGAAAUGGAGGGCUCUUUCCUUUGCGGGGCGGGUCACUCUUAUUCAAUCUGUGUUGACCUCUAUCCUUGUGUAUGCUAUGGCUUCUUUCCCAUCUUGUUUGCUGUUCUGGACUCUCUUGAGCGGAAAUUUCGUGCCUUUCUAUGGGGUCACCCUUCCUCUACUUGUCGAGCUGAUCUUAUCUCACGGGAGACUGUUUGUUCGCCCAAGGAGGCAGGUGGCCUGGGCUUCCUUUCUAUCUGGCAGUGCCAAGCUAUUCUUUUGGAUAAAUUGGCUGCUAAGCUAAUUUUACAACCUUUUUCUCUAUGGGGCCAGUUGGUCUAUUCUAAGUACAAGUUCCAUUGAUCCUGGAUCUCCUAUCGUCGUUCGGCUAAUUGUUCUCAAAUUUGAAAAAAAAUCUCGGCUAUUGGACAGUGCAUCCAAUAUCAAUACAUGUGGCUCAUUGGAAACGGACAAAGUAUAAAUGUCUGGAAGGAUUCGUGGAUAUCCUCCAUACCAUUAUUUUGAUGGUUUUCUUUUAUGAAUGUUAAUAUUAAUUUGAAAGAUUUUUGUGUUGCUGAUUUUAUUUUACCUAAGAAUAUAUGGAAUACUUCACCUUUAGCCUCUCUAUUUAACACGGAUAUGUUAAGCGCCGUACUUACGAUUUCUUUUGCGCACACUAAAUGGCCAGAUCAGUUGGGCUGGGCUAACACUCGAUCUCUUACUGUUUCUACUCAUGACCUUGCUGGUGUUUUAGCUCCCCUUAAUUCCCUCUCUUUCAACUUUCAUGCCAAGUGGAUCUAGGAAUUAUCUGUACCUAAACAUGUUAAAUGUUUUUAUUGGAAACUCUUUUGGCAACGCUUACCCACUAAGGAGUAUUUGCUUUUUAGAAAUCUCCUGCCUUCUGGGCUUUUUGUAUGUGAUCUUUGUGGAUCUGCUGUGGAGGAUUGUCAAUAUGUGAUUAUCACUUGUUAUUUUGCUCAAGCUUGCUGGCGCCUUAUUAGUUACCAAUUUAGCUGCCCUAUCCCAUCUUCUUUAUUGAAUUUGCUGGCUUUUUUAGCUCAUCCCAGGAUAGGAUCGAGAGGGAAGGCUAUUGUUCCUUUCAUGGCAUCUCUUCUUUGGUAUGCCAGGAAUCAGCAGAUCUUUCAAGGCCACUUUAUUCCUCUCGCCCAUCUCCUCCAGCAGUGUGUCUGUUUCCACAAAGUUCAAUUUUUCUCCUCUACUUCUUUUCCUCCUGGUGAGCCCACUCAGUCAAGGACCUGGGGUAAUUCUCAGCUGUGUUUGCAGCUCUGCUGAGUGAAUUUUAUUUCAUGGACACCCCCUCCCCUUGGAGUGCUCACUAUUAGCUUUGAUAGAGCAGUCACUGCAGAGCGAGCCGCUGGAGGCUUUAUAAUUCGAAACGGUGAGGGCGCUAUGUUGGCGAUAGGAGGAAAGCUUCUUCCUGCUGUUGCUGUGCCUUUUGCUGAACUUAUUGGAGUUUGGUUGGGACUUAAAUACGUCUUUACCCAUCUCUAUUCUUAGUGUGUUUGGAUUCAGGGAGACUCCUUUGUUGUUAUCACAUGGCUGAAAAAUCUCCAGAGUAAUAGGAUGAGUCUCUCGCCUUGGAUGCAGGAUAUUAAAAUUUGGCUUGCCUCUCUCCAAUAUCUUAAAAUAUCUCAUAUUUUUCGGGAAGGCAAUAAAGCCACGGAUUGGGCUGCCACGACUGCUUUUCUGGGGAUUUUUCUUUUACUUCUGAUAUAUUGUAUUUAUAUCCUACUCUGGUCCAUAUUUUACGUGCUGAUGCUUAUCCAGUUGCAUUUCCUCGACAUGGCUUAUAGAUAUUGGCUGCAUUAUCCUCUAUUAUCCGGUGGAUCUGGAUGGCCGUGGGUGGUUAGUAGUUUAACUUCAUUUCAGUCAUCUGGCCUGAUGCAUUGCCCCUAUUAUCAGAUAUUUCUGAUGGACAUUUUUGAGUUGCAUAGACACUUCACCAUGUUUAUUUGGCUUCUGAUCUUACUGUCCCACAUGAUUACAUUUAUUAUGCAUGCGGGCAUCUCUGUCGUUUUUUUUUAGAUGAUGUUUGCACUGAUGGGUAUUCGCCCCUCCCAAAUGAUGAUAUUCAAGUGUCUAUUUCUGAUGGGAGUUGGCUCUUUUUUAAAUUUAUUACUCUCUCUCCUUUUGCUGGCCAUCUUAUUAAUGCCGCUUUUAUGGCGCGUAUGGCUCUUUGGUUAUAUUUGCUGCAAAAGGAGAUUUUAUGGUUGGGUUUUACUUACUAUAUCACUCUGUGCCAGUGGUCUUAUUUUAGCCCUAACAAAGUUUCAAUUACUGAUGAGUUUUGUGAUCUAAUUACCUCCCAAAUGAUUAUAUUCAAUUGGUUCGAUUCUAAUGGGAGUUGGCCUAGAUUGCCUAUUGGUUUACUUUUCUUGCUGACGGGGAUUCGGUGGUCGGCUUACUCUUUUCUCGUUGCAUUAUGCUGCUGGCAUCACUUAAUCCCAAAUGAUGACUUAUGGUAUGUUGUUUCUAAUGGAUUUCUGAGCAUAUUAUUGGUUUUGGGUACAUACGAGACUUUUGUUCAAAAUUAUGUUUUGGCGCUCUACAGACAAUUUCAUUUGAAGUAUAGGUGCUGCAUCAUUUAUAGCAUAUCUUACUCUGACAUAUCUUAUAGUAUUUCAGCCUCUGUUGCUUUUUCUGUUUUAUGGAUUCAGGGCGAGGUGCUUGUUUCUGCGGUUCUCCAUUUUCUUACAUGUCAUUUAGCUUGUUCUAUUAGUCAUUGGAUUAUUUGGUAUUUUGUUAAUUGUUGGUUCUCCAGAUAUCAGCCUAUUAUUUGGAUGGAUAACGGAUGGCAUUUGCUGCAUAUUCAAUUUCUCUGUUCGGAUUUUUUUAUUCGGUUACUGUGUGCUGCUGUUGAUCUCUUGUCCUAGAUGAUGUAUCAUUCCAUAAUGAUUUUGAUGGGUUUGUGUGCAUAUUAUCUGCUUUUA